This is a non-coding RNA of Arachis ipaensis, 347 nucleotides long. Lineage: Eukaryota; Viridiplantae; Streptophyta; Magnoliopsida; Fabales; Fabaceae. The record is from RefSeq and is a predicted model, not a curated record.
AGAUGAGGCCAUUACGGCAAGCCUUCGGGUGUCCUCCUCGGGAUAGGGUCAUUUAAAGAACGAGGGUCAGCACGACGUAAAAAAACAAGGGGGAAAAAUCGAAAAAAAAUGGGAGGAGCCUGGCGGAGAUGAGGCCAUUGCGGCUCGCCUUCUGGUGUCCUCCCCGAGAUAGGGUCAUUUAAAGAACGAGGGUCAGCACGACGUAAAAAAAAUCAUCGGGAAAAAAAAAAAAAAAAAAAUCGGAGGAGCCUGCCGGAGAUGAGGCCAUUACGGCUCGCCUUCAGGUGUCCUACUCGGGAUAGGGUCAUUUAAAGAACGAGGGUCAGAACGACUUUAAAAAAAAACGG